CAGUAGCCGCGGGAAUACGUAGGUCCCGAGCGUUGUCCGGAUUUAUUGGGCGUAAAGGGAGCGCAGGCGGUUUAGUAAGUCUGAAGUUAAAGGCAUUGGCUCAACCAAUGUAUGCUUUGGAAACUGUUAGACUUGAGUGCAGAAGGGGAGAGUGGAAUUCCAUGUGUAGCGGUGAAAUGCGUAGAUAUAUGGAGGAACACCGGUGGCGAAAGCGGCUCUCUGGUCUGUCACUGACGCUGAGGCUCGAAAGCGUGGGUAGCGAACAGGAUUAGAUACCCGAGUAGUCCCUGUCUCUUAUACC
This 301-nucleotide ribosomal RNA is filed under the name uncultured bacterium. RNAcentral describes it as "partial 16S ribosomal RNA". It matches the Rfam family "Bacterial small subunit ribosomal RNA", at positions 509 to 808 of the family's 1533-position model. The record is from RNAcentral.